AACGAACGCUGGCGGCAGGCCUAACACAUGCAAGUCGAACGGUAACAGGAAACAGCUUGCUGUUUCGCUGACGAGUGGCGGACGGGUGAGUAAUGUCUGGGAAACUGCCUGAUGGAGGGGGAUAACUACUGGAAACGGUAGCUAAUACCGCAUAACGUCGCAAGACCAAAGAGGGGGACCUUCGGGCCUCUUGCCAUCGGAUGUGCCCAGAUGGGAUUAGCUAGUAGGUGGGGUAACGGCUCACCUAGGCGACGAUCCCUAGCUGGUCUGAGAGGAGGACAAGCCACAGCGGAAAUGAGACACGGUCAAGAUUCCUACGGGAGGCAGAAGUGGGGAAUAUUGCACAAUGGGCGCAAACCUGAUGCAGCCAUGCCGCGUGUAUGAAGAAGGCCUUCGGGUUGUAAAGUACUUUCAGCGGGGAGGAAGGGAGUAAAGUUAAUACCUUUGCUCAUUGACGUUACCAGCAGAAGAAGAACCGGCUAACUCCGUGCCAGCCGCCGCCGUAA
Molecule: ribosomal RNA, 506 nt
Filed under: uncultured bacterium
Lineage: Bacteria
Description: partial 16S ribosomal RNA
Rfam family: Bacterial small subunit ribosomal RNA
Source: RNAcentral